GUCCUACGGGGCGUAGCAGUGAGGAAUAUUGGUCAAUGGGCGCUAGCCUGAACCAGCCAAGUAGCGUGAAGGAUGACUGCCCUAUGGGUUGUAAACUUCUUUUAUAUGGGAAUAAAGUGCAGUAUGUAUACUGCUUUGCAUGUACCUUAUGAAUAAGGAUCGGCUAACUCCGUGCCAGCAGCCGCGGUAAUACGGAGGAUGCGAGCGUUAUCCGGAUUUAUUGGGUUUAAAGGGUGCGUAGGCGGGCUUUUAAGUCAGCGGUAAAAAUUCGGGGCUCAACCCCGUCCGGCCGUUGAAACUGGGGG
This 305-nucleotide ribosomal RNA is filed under the name uncultured bacterium. RNAcentral describes it as "bacterial SSU rRNA". It matches the Rfam family "Bacterial small subunit ribosomal RNA", at positions 335 to 639 of the family's 1533-position model. The record is from RNAcentral.